RNAcentral lists this ribosomal RNA (1966 nucleotides) under Salmonella enterica. RNAcentral's name for it is "partial 23S ribosomal RNA". It matches the Rfam family "Bacterial large subunit ribosomal RNA", at positions 1 to 1895 of the family's 2925-position model. The record is from RNAcentral. Lineage: Bacteria; Pseudomonadati; Pseudomonadota; Gammaproteobacteria; Enterobacterales; Enterobacteriaceae.
GGGUUGUGAGGUUAAGCGACUAAGCGUACACGGUGGAUGCCCUGGCAGUCAGAGGCGAUGAAGGACGUGCUAAUCUGCGAUAAGCGCCGGUAAGGUGAUAUGAACCGUUAUAACCGGCGAUUUCCGAAUGGGGAAACCCAGUGUGAUUCGUCACACUAUCAUUAACUGAAUCCAUAGGUUAAUGAGGCGAACCGGGGGAACUGAAACAUCUAAGUACCCCGAGGAAAAGAAAUCAACCGAGAUUCCCCCAGUAGCGGCGAGCGAACGGGGAGGAGCCCAGAGCCUGAAUCAGCAUGUGUGUUAGUGGAAGCGUCUGGAAAGGCGCGCGAUACAGGGUGACAGCCCCGUACACAAAAGCGCAUGUGCUGUGAGCUCGAUGAGUAGGGCGGGACACGUGGUAUCCUGUCUGAAUAUGGGGGGACCAUCCUCCAAGGCUAAAUACUCCUGACUGACCGAUAGUGAACCAGUACCGUGAGGGAAAGGCGAAAAGAACCCCGGCGAGGGGAGUGAAAAAGAACCUGAAACCGUGUACGUACAAGCAGUGGGAGCACAGGUUUACCUGUGUGACUGCGUACCUUUUGUAUAAUGGGUCAGCGACUUAUAUUCUGUAGCAAGGUUAACCGUAUAGGGGAGCCGGAGGGAAACCGAGUCUUAAUUGGGCGUUAAGUUGCAGGGUAUAGACCCGAAACCCGGUGAUCUAGCCAUGGGCAGGUUGAAGGUUGGGUAACACUAACUGGAGGACCGAACCGACUAAUGUUGAAAAAUUAGCGGAUGACCUGUGGCUGGGGGUGAAAGGCCAAUCAAACCGGGAGAUAGCUGGUUCUCCCCGAAAGCUAUUUAGGUAGCGCCUCGUGAAUUCAUCUCCGGGGGUAGAGCACUGUUUCGGCUAGGGGGCCAUCCCGGCUUACCAACCCGAUGCAAACUGCGAAUACCGGAGAAUGUUAUCACGGGAGACACACGGCGGGUGCUAACGUCCGUCGUGAAGAGGGAAACAACCCAGACCGCCAGCUAAGGUCCCAAAGUCAUGGUUAAGUGGGAAACGAUGUGGGAAGGCCCAGACAGCCAGGAUGUUGGCUUAGAAGCAGCCAUCAUUUAAAGAAAGCGUAAUAGCUCACUGGUCGAGUCGGCCUGCGCGGAAGAUGUAACGGGGCUAAACCAUGCACCGAAGCUGCGGCAGCGAACGUAUCACCCAAGACAACUUUACGGAGUUGACGAUUGACGGAGCGAAGCGACGUCAAAGCGUUCAUUAAAGUCGAGUUGGCUUAGGGAUACGUUCGUUGGGUAGGGGAGCGUUCUGUAAGCCUGUGAAGGUGUGUCGUGAGGCAUGCUGGAGGUAUCAGAAGUGCGAAUGCUGACAUAAGUAACGAUAAAGCGGGUGAAAAGCCCGCUCGCCGGAAGACCAAGGGUUCCUGUCCAACGUUAAUCGGGGCAGGGUGAGUCGACCCCUAAGGCGAGGCCGAAAGGCGUAGUCGAUGGGAAACGGGUUAAUAUUCCCGUACUUGGUGUUACUGCGAAGGGGGGACGGAGAAGGCUAUGUUGGCCGGGCGACGGUUGUCCCGGUUUAAGCGUGUAGGUGUGUGUUCCAGGUAAAUCCGGUUCACUUUAACACUGAGGCGUGACGACGAGGCACUACGGUGCUGAAGCAACAAAUGCCCUGCUUCCAGGAAAAGCCUCUAAGCAUCAGGUAACACGAAAUCGUACCCCAAACCGACACAGGUGGUCAGGUAGAGAAUACCAAGGCGCUUGAGAGAACUCGGGUGAAGGAACUAGGCAAAAUGGUGCCGUAACUUCGGGAGAAGGCACGCUGACACGUAGGUGAAGUGAUUUACUCAUGGAGCUGAAGUCAGUCGAAGAUACCAGCUGGCUGCAACUGUUUAUUAAAAACACAGCACUGUGCAAACACGAAAGUGGACGUAUACGGUGUGACGCCUGCCCGGUGCCGGAAGGUUAAUUGAUGGGGUCAGCG